UCCCUGGUGGUCUACUGGCUAGGAUUCGGCGCUUUCACCGCCGCGGCCCGGGUUCGAUUCCCGGUCAGGGAA
Loxodonta africana (African savanna elephant) is the source of this 72-nucleotide transfer RNA. It matches the Rfam family "tRNA". Rfam says of the family: Transfer RNA (tRNA) molecules are approximately 80 nucleotides in length. Their secondary structure includes four short double-helical elements and three loops (D, anti-codon, and T loops). The record is from Rfam. NCBI's taxonomy places the organism in Eukaryota, Metazoa, Chordata, Mammalia, Proboscidea, Elephantidae.